CUGAUUUGUCCAUUGGUGCAAAAUGCUCAUGGAAUUUGGUCAAAACAAUGAUGAAGUGAGUCAGCAUGAGCAAAAUAUUUAUUAGUCAUAUUCAGAGCCACUGACUUAAGUUAGUGUACGCUGCUAAGAAACUUACAGACAAUGGUUCUUAUUCAAUGAAGUUGUAUAUGAACAAAUCUGAGCAAAAGAUUGACCAUUCGAAAAUGUUCAUCAGUGCAUCUGAAUGAUCAGACUCAUGUAUGGUCAGACAACUGUAAAUUCAAACAACCAUUUAUUACAUUGUAGACAAUAAAAUUACAGUUACACUGAAGGUGGGGAAGAAGUGAAUUUGAGUGGGGUAUUUGGUCAAAUACCCAAUGUUUAUUUAAUGUUCUUAAAAUGCACACAGUUUGUUACAGUGAGGACACUGACAAUGCAAUGUCAAAAUGCUUUUCACUAAUGAACAGCCCAUUAUCAGAUGGAUGAGGUUUGUGAGCAUUUCCAAUGUUCUUAAAAAAAAAUUCACUAUUUUGAGCAAGGGUAGACAAUAUUUGAGUAGUUGUACUUUCUUACUAUACUUAAGUAUUAUUUUGGUGUAUUUAUACUUGAUUGUUGUUGAAAUUGAAUACUUGUACUCUUACCCGAUUACAUUUCCAAUAAAAAAAAGGAAUUUUUCCUCCAUACAUUUUUAUUUAGACCUACAAAGUACGUUAUAAACCUCUACCUUAUUGUGUUACACAAUGUAGUUAGUGCUAUAGCUAACCAUGUAUGUCUGAAUAUGGAUAAUCCUUUGCCCUGUGUUACUUGAGCAUGCGCACCCCUGGCCCUGAGUAGCAACUAUUUAACUUUCAUUUGAUUGCAUUUUUUGGCAGAAUAGUUCAACUUUUAAUUGAGUAAGAUUUUGACACAUUAUAUAUACUGUCACUUAAGCAUAAUUUCUCAGUACUUUGUCCACCCCUAACUGUGAGGUAAGGUAAUUAAAAUUUCCACUUACAGAAAUUUAACAUUUGUUCUAUGAUUAUUAAGAAUAUAAUUAUCACUGUUCGUCCACAUGACACUAACAUUUUGGUUGUCAGUAGUCUCAGUAGUAUGUAAUAACAAUGCACCGAAAUAAUGAAAUCAACUUCACCCUAAAAUAUAAAUAAAUAAAUAAAUAAAUAAAUAAAUACAGACAGACAGACAGACAGACAGACAAAGUCAAUGCUAUCCAGAUGGAGACUUUAUGUUUUUAUAUAACUUCUACUGCUAUUUUAAAAGCUCAGUCAGUCCUGCCAAACUAACUUCUAACUCCAGUUAGUUACACCACCUUCCAAAUAGUUUAUAGCACAUAUUUGCCAAGCUAAAGACCCAGAAGUUACACGACCCCAAAUCCAUCCAUAACCUACUUACACAUAACACCAUUUCAAGCUUAUGUUAGUAAAUAUAUAUAAAGAUAUUUAAUGCCUUCAGCUAUUUUGUAACACUGUAUUUCCCUUCUCCUUGUCAGAAUGCGUCCUGCCCAAACUUCUGUUAUUCAUUCUAGCAAGAGUAAUGUCUGAGCUAUGAGCUGAAAACUUGUCCAGACCAUGUCUCAUGCUUUGUUCCUGGUGUAAGGUUAGUGAUUACCACCUCUAUAGCCUGGAACUUCAGAUUCUUCGGUGGAACAGGACACACUUUGUAGGUCACCUCAUCCCCCUCCACUGGUACAUAUUCACCCUCAAUGCUGUUAAAAAAAAAAAAGAAGGCACAUAUUAUUCUUUAAAAUGUCAGUGCCCCAUUGAUUUUACAAAAUUCUAAUUAUGUAUUAUUCUAGAGUCCAAUGCAGCAUGCUUGAUAACUCCUCUGAUAGUGUACUCACUCUGAGAU
Molecule: long non-coding RNA, 1824 nt
Organism: Ictalurus punctatus (channel catfish)
Lineage: Eukaryota; Metazoa; Chordata; Actinopteri; Siluriformes; Ictaluridae
Source: Ensembl